RNAcentral lists this long non-coding RNA (209 nucleotides) under Nicotiana benthamiana. RNAcentral's name for it is "long non-coding RNA (NBEN_LNC034627)". Lineage: Eukaryota; Viridiplantae; Streptophyta; Magnoliopsida; Solanales; Solanaceae. The record is from RNAcentral.
GUCUGGAGGUCCAAAAUCAGGGUUGUAGGUUAGGGGCUCCUAGAGUCCUUCGCACAUCAGUAGGUUUUCUCAUAGACGAUUUGUGUGUUAGCGUGUGCCCUCCUGUGGCUGUUAGUUAUGAUAGUUACUGCACGAUUUUAUUGCAUGCGAUUGUAUGUAUGUUUCUUAUUUUUAGUUAAUUAUUUUCACUAUUUUCUGCGGGAGUCACN